This 85-nucleotide transfer RNA is filed under the name Felis catus (domestic cat). It matches the Rfam family "tRNA". From Rfam's summary of the family: Transfer RNA (tRNA) molecules are approximately 80 nucleotides in length. Their secondary structure includes four short double-helical elements and three loops (D, anti-codon, and T loops). Further hydrogen bonds mediate the characteristic L-shaped molecular structure. tRNAs have two regions of fundamental functional importance: the anti-codon, which is responsible for specific mRNA codon recognition, and the 3' end, to which the tRNAs corresponding amino acid is attached (by aminoacyl-tRNA synthetases). tRNAs cope with the degeneracy of the genetic code in two manners: having more than one tRNA (with a specific anti-codon) for a particular amino acid; and 'wobble' base-pairing, i.e. permitting non-standard base-pairing at the 3rd anti-codon position. Lineage: Eukaryota; Metazoa; Chordata; Mammalia; Carnivora; Felidae. The record is from Rfam by way of RNAcentral.
GCCUCGCUGGCUCAGUUGGUUGAGCAUCUGACUUCAGCUCAGGUCAUGAUCUCGCAGUUCAUGGGUUCAAGCACCAUGUCGGGCU